UCUCUCUCUGCCUGUGUUGAAUUUAGUGCCAUAUUUCCUCUCAGAUCUACCUAUCAACCCAUCUGAAUCCAUUUCUAUGGCACUCCAUGAGCAUUCCGAACUACUUAUCAGUCACCAACCAAUGAUCUCUUUUCUGGUGAGGAGCUCCUUCUUUUUUUUUUUUUGUGCCUCUCACAAUCUCCCUCCAUCUUCAUCUUCUUCUAUUUUCUUUCCACCGCCGUUAUGAAACGUAUUCCGAUCAUCGAAAUCAUCGAAUUGGUGAGAUGAUGAGUUUGGAUUCACCGCUCUACGUGGAUUCUUCCUCUAGAUCUAAUUUCGUCGAAGCUUUAUGUAGAUUCAUCUGAUGGGUGUGGGUAGAUCUUCAAGAUCUCAGACUUGCAGUGGAAUAGAUUCAUCUGAUGGGUGUGGGUAGAUCUUCAAGAUCUCAGACUUGCAGUGGAAUGGAGAUGGCCGGUGAUGAACGAAAGCUAUGGUUCCGCACCGGCGAGCUGUGGAUGACUGGAUGCUAAGUGCGAUGGAGGCCAUCAGAGAGAGAGAGCAGUGGUGGUGGGAUGUAUGGUCUAGGUUGUUGACCGGCGAUGAGAGAGCAGUGGUGACUAAGUCGGCCGGCGGUGAUGUCUGAGCCGAUCUCUGAUUUUAUUUCUUUUAUUAUUUAUUUUUAAAUUUUGUCACAUAUCCAGUUUGUUAUCCAAUUUUGUAUCAAACAACUGAUAAGAUUAGGAUUAGCUAUCUUAACCUCUUACAAAUCCAAUCCUAUUCAAACAGGUUAACUAAUCUAAUCCUAUCUACAAGUUCAGGUCUUCAGGAUAUGGAACAGAAAGCUGCAACAGAAAACUGAAAUAUGCCAAGCCCUCCUCCAAUCAUCAUCAUGGGUUUACUUUAAUUUUUUCAGUUCUUGGAGGACUGGCAUAUAUAUCUUUUGUUUAGCAUUUUACUAAAUUGCAAUUGAUGCUUAUUUUGCAGUCAGUAAUAUGGAAGAAAGAACUUCAGGAAACGACGAACAAGAGAAGACAAAGAUUUGUUACUUGCUCAAGCAGGAACUUGGAUAGUUGAUGAUAAAAUAGCCAUCAAACCUCAGGUACUUUUCUAUAAACCAAUAUGGUACUGAAAUGCUAAUAACUACAUUACAAUUAUCGUCAUUUGAAUUUCUAGGAUAAAUUAGUUUUACCAAAACCUACAAGCUUAGCCUUCUGUUAUAAACUUGUGAUAGUUUACUGCUCUACCAUCAAAGUUCUUGUGUUUGAUGACUUUGUUCAUAUGGCGUCAAGGGAAAUUCACUUCAUGUUGCAUAUCACUUAUUAAAUGCAAGAAAAAUGACAACAUUGAAACAAUUAAAAUUGGUGAAUUGAAGAUAAUUAAAUGCCACUGACUAAUCAACCGCAUCUCAUAUGCUUGUUAGACUAAUUAACGUAAUCAACUGCAUCUCAUAUGCUUGUUAGACUAAUUAACGUAUUCAUGUUCCAACGGUGAAUUUCUGCUAUUGCUGCAUGUCUCGAUCGAACUACAAUAUCAGUUAAUUGGGUUAGUGAGUCUUUUUCUUCCUAUGUUCAAAUUAGUCAUUGUAAACUAUCCUACACCAUUGUUAUUUGUAUUUAAUCUUUUCUUAGACAUAAUGUGUUAGGAGGUUAUCAUUUGGAAUAGACAGCUACAAAAGCGUAUGAUAGAACAAAACUUAAGCAUGGGAGCACACAAGAAUACGUUACUCACUGAGAAGGAUAAUUUAUAUCAAGUCCAACUCAGAGUAUCCAGCUUCCAUGUUGAAUUUUGAAGAGUCUGAACUGUUGUUCAAGACAAGGAGAAGUUAAGGCAAGGUCAAUUAGUAUAUGGUAUGUAGAGAUUACAGAUCUACUUAUGUACAAAAUUUUCAGUUCAUGUUAGAGCUGUUGUUGGAGCCUGGGAGAAGUUGAGGUCAUAAGCCAUUUCGUUUGUUGGUUAGUAUUUAGAGAAGUAUAACACUAUUGAUGUACUAAAGUUUGCAUAGAAAGAUUUAUUUAACUAUUUUGUUGAUUUUUACAAUAUAGGAAAUUAUUGUUGUAUAUUCAAUACACAGAUAUUGGAUUUUCAUUAUAUAUACCAGAAAAAA
Rosa chinensis is the source of this 2083-nucleotide long non-coding RNA. RefSeq lists it as uncharacterized. The transcript is spliced from 3 exons. The record is from RefSeq and is a predicted model, not a curated record. Lineage: Eukaryota; Viridiplantae; Streptophyta; Magnoliopsida; Rosales; Rosaceae.